Molecule: RNase P RNA, 389 nt
Filed under: Deltaproteobacteria bacterium
Lineage: Bacteria; Pseudomonadati; Myxococcota; Myxococcia
Description: RNase P RNA component class A
Rfam family: Bacterial RNase P class A
About the family: Ribonuclease P (RNase P) is a ubiquitous endoribonuclease, found in archaea, bacteria and eukarya as well as chloroplasts and mitochondria. Its best characterised activity is the generation of mature 5'-ends of tRNAs by cleaving the 5'-leader elements of precursor-tRNAs.
Source: RNAcentral
UGAGUUUGAAACGUAAUCGCUGGUAAGAUUUUUUAUCAGAGGAAAGUCCGGGCAUCAUAGAGCAGGAUGCUGGUUAAUGGCCAGAGGGGGCGACCCCAUGGAAAGUGCCACAGAAAAUAUACCGCCGAUGGUCCGGUUCGCCGGACACAGGUAAGGGUGAAAUGGUGGGAGAGUGAAGACUCUUUAAUGUAAGAGCCCACCGCGGGGAUGGUGACAUUCCCGGCAGGGUAAACCCCAUUUGAUGCAAGUCCAAAUAGGGUAGCGUUUAAGGUUGCUCGCCUAGCUAUCGGGUAGGAUGCACGAGGAUACGGGUAACCGUAUUCCUAGAUAAAUGAUUACGACUCCGGUUUUACCGGAGGACAGAACCCGGCUUAAAGAUAACUCAACUU